This is a long non-coding RNA of Sinocyclocheilus rhinocerous, 564 nucleotides long. RefSeq lists it as uncharacterized. The transcript has 3 exons. NCBI's taxonomy places the organism in Eukaryota, Metazoa, Chordata, Actinopteri, Cypriniformes, Cyprinidae. The record is from RefSeq and is a predicted model, not a curated record.
AAAGCAUUGAAGUAUGAGUUCACUUCAAAUUCGAGGAAGUUCAGAAAGUAAGAAGAAAGCAAGAAAACUAAGAGAUGCUGGCUGAGACCUACUAAUUGUCACACCUCUUGUACAGUGGGGGCAGCUGUUGUCUGCUGAUUGGUCGGUUUGAAUAUCUCAGAUUUGGUUUAAGUCACAUGGUCAAGGAUAAAUGAAGAAUGUAACCUGUGUGCUCUCUCUCUUUCAUCUCUGGGCUCUACUCUUGGAUUGUCCUCUUCCUCUCUAACUGAGCUCGGCCUGGGUUGAAGGUCACUGAGCUAGACUCAUGUCCCUCAUGGCAUCUCUCUCUAUACUUCUCAUGUGUUAAAGCUACAUUUUCUCUUUUUCAUUCUAUAUCUCAGUAUACCAAACCAAGAUUUACCGGCUCUCACAUUGCUGCAGCAAAACCGAAUCUUAAUGUGGCCAGGAGACCUUCCCAGGUUGAAGACCAGCCCAGCGCAGCAGUGUCUAGUGCCUCUAUACCAAGCACCACUGUCUCUACACCAGAUGCUCAAGUUCCAGCCCCUGUCCCCAGAGCCACUGCAG